AGAGAGAGACAUGCGCGCAUAUCAAUAAGCGGAGGAAAAGAAACUAACAAGGAUUCCCUUAGUAACGGCGAGUGAAGCGGGAAGAGCUCAAAUUUGAAAUCUUCAAGGUUUUACCUUGACGAAUUGUAGUUUAAAGAAGUGUUUUCUGUUGGAGUUUUGGUAAAAGUUCUUUGGAAUAGGACAUCAUAGAGGGUGAGAAUCCCGUAUUUGACCAUUAUUUUCAGCUUUGUGAUACACUUUCAAAGAGUCGGAUUGUUUGGGAAUGCAGUCCAAAAUGGGUGGUAAAUUUCAUCUAAAGCUAAAUAUUGGCGAGAGACCGAUAGCGAACAAGUACCGUGAGGGAAAGAUGAAAAGAACUUUGAAAAGAGAGUUAAACAGUACGUGAAAUUGUCAAAAGGGAAGCGUUUGACACCAGUGUUGUUUUCUCGAAAAUCAAUUAAAAAUGGCUCGAUUUUGUAUUGUUGAGACCUUAAAAGCUCACUGUACAUUUUUCGUGUCUUUUUAAUGCACUUUUCGUUUAACAAGUCAACAUCAGUUUCUUUUGUUGUAAAAGGGUCAUUGGAAGGUGGCUUUCUUUUCGGAGAAAGUGUUUAUAGCCUUUGGCCUCUGCAAUCGAAGAGACUGAGGUCUGCAGCGUAGACUCUUCGGGGUUAGAUACAUUUGUGCUAAGUUAUAGCUUUUUAUAGACAACUUGUUGACUAUAAUUAGUCUUGUAGCUUACUCGCUUAUGCUAUUUUACCUACGCUUAGGAUGUUGAAGAUGUAGCACAUCAU
RNAcentral lists this ribosomal RNA (773 nucleotides) under uncultured Neocallimastigales. Its description in RNAcentral is "partial large subunit ribosomal RNA". It matches the Rfam family "Eukaryotic large subunit ribosomal RNA", at positions 23 to 634 of the family's 3401-position model. Lineage: Eukaryota; Fungi; Neocallimastigomycota; Neocallimastigomycetes; Neocallimastigales. The record is from RNAcentral.